CACCGGCAGCUCGAGUGGUAGCCGCGUUUAUUGGGCCUAAAGCGUCCGUAGCCGGUCCGAUAAGUCUCUGGUGAAAGCCCAUAGCUCAACUGUGGGACUCGCUGGAGAUACUAUCGGACUUGAGGCCGGGAGAGGCUGGAGGUACUCCCAGGGUAGGGUUGAAAUCCUAUAAUCCUGGGAGGAGCACGUGUGGCGAAGGGGUCCAGCUGGAACGGGCCUGACGGGGAGGGACGAAAGCCAGGGGCGCGAACCGG
RNAcentral lists this ribosomal RNA (254 nucleotides) under uncultured archaeon. Its description in RNAcentral is "partial 16S ribosomal RNA". It matches the Rfam family "Archaeal small subunit ribosomal RNA", at positions 474 to 727 of the family's 1478-position model. The record is from RNAcentral.